This 468-nucleotide ribosomal RNA is filed under the name uncultured bacterium. Its description in RNAcentral is "partial 16S ribosomal RNA". It matches the Rfam family "Bacterial small subunit ribosomal RNA", at positions 28 to 507 of the family's 1533-position model. The record is from RNAcentral.
GACGAACGCUGGCGGCGUGCUUAACACAUGCAAGUCGAACGGAAAGGCCCUGCUUUUGUGGGGUGCUCGAGUGGCGAACGGGUGAGUAACACGUGAGUAACCUGCCCUUGACUUUGGGAUAACUUCAGGAAACUGGGGCUAAUACCGGAUAGGAUCUCCUGCUGCAUGGUGGGGGUUGGAAAGAUUCGGCGGUUGGGGAUGGACUCGCUGGUUAUCAGCUUGUUGGUGGGGUAGUGGCUUACCAAGGCUUUGACGGGUAGCCGGCCUGAGAGGGUGACCGGCCACAUGGGGACUGAGAGACGGCCCAGACUCCUACGGGAGGCAGCAGUGGGGAAUAUUGCACAAUGGGCGGAAGCCUGAUGCAGCAACGCCGCGUGCGGGAUGACGGCCUUCGGGUUGUAAACCGCUUUCGCCUGUGACGAAGCGUGAGUGACGGUAAUGGGUAAAGAAGCACCGGCUAACUACGUG